Molecule: ribosomal RNA, 1542 nt
Filed under: Triticum aestivum (bread wheat)
Lineage: Eukaryota; Viridiplantae; Streptophyta; Magnoliopsida; Poales; Poaceae
Description: partial small subunit ribosomal RNA
Source: RNAcentral
AUGAAUGAACGGCUGUUGCGGCCUUUGAAGGAGGAAGAAGUGAAGGCUGCAGUUUUUGCUAUGGGGCCUUCAAAGGCGCCCGGGAGGGAUGGCUUUCACGCGGCCUUCUACCAGAAACAUUGGGAGCUGAUAGGGCCUGAUGUUACUAUGGCUGUCCUAGGUUUCUUGAAUGGAGGACAAAUGCCGGACACAAUGAACAACACGAUUAUUGUUCUUAUACCAAAGGUGAGAAAUCCACAAAAUAUCACUCAGUAUAGACCAAUAUCAUUGUGUAAUGUUCUCUAUAAAAUAUGUUCGAAGGUGCUUGCUAACCGUCUGAAAGAUAUCCUUGAUGAGAUUAUUGCAGAGGAGCAAAGUGCUUUCGUUCCAGGACGAUUGAUUACCGACAACAUCCUAGUGGCUUAUGAAUGUAUACAUUCGAUGAAAAGGAAGAAGGGGAAGCAAGGAUGGUGUGCGGUGAAGAUUGAUAUGAUUAAGGCGUAUGACCGAGUGGAAUGGUCGUAUCUGGAAGGGAUAAUGCACCAACUGGGUUUUCAUGAACGAUGGAUUUCUCUUAUUAUGAGAUGUGUGAACACCGUGAGCUUCCUAGUGAAGGUCGGUGAGUUGUUACCAGCCUUUUUACCUUCAAGAGGCUUUCAUCAAGGAGACCAGAUAUCGCCAUACCUAUUUAUUCUAUGUGGGGAGGGUCUAUCUUCAAUGCUCCUAAACUACGAUGGUGACUGGAUAGAUAGGGGCAUCCGAGUGAGCGCUUCUGCACCAUGGAUCUUGCAUCUCCUCUUUGCAGAUGAUUGUUGGAUCUUCAUGAAAGCUGACUCGAGGAGUGCUACCAGGUUAACUGACAUUUUGGAACAAUACAGUGUGGGCUCGGGUCAAAGUGCAAAUAAAAUGAAGAGCUCGGUUUAUUUUAGCCCAAACAGUGGGGCGUCAGUUAAGAGGGGUGUCAAGGCCACCCUUCAGAUACAUAGGGAGGCAAUGUUCGAGAAAUACCUUGGCCUUCCAACUGUCGCGGGUAGGAUUACUGAACAAAGCUUUGAACACAUCAACGAGCAGUCAAGGUCAAAGGUGCAAGGGUGGUGUGAGAGGAAGAUGUCAUGCGCUGCAAAAGAAGUUCUCCUAAAAACAGUGGUUCAAGCCUUACCGGCCUUCUCUAUGAGUUGUUUCAAACUCACAAAAGGUCUGUGCAAGAAACUGACGACGAACAUGUCAAAAUAUUGGUGGGAUGGGUCACUUGAUAAGAAGGGGAUGCACUGGCAGGCGUGGUAUAAGAUGUGUGUAGCAAAGUCAAAAGGAGGUCUCGGAUUCCGGGAUUUUGAAACCUUCAAUGACGCGAUGCUGGCCAAGCAAGCAUGGAGAAUUCUUGACAAUCCAAACAGCUUGUGUGCCCGAGUUCUAAAGGGAAGAUAUUUCCCAAAUGAGGGGUUCCUAACUGCGGGUUGUCCAAAAAGUGCAUCUAAAACAUGGAAGGCAAUAAUUGUAGGGAGAGAGAUGCUCAAGAAAGGACUAAUUCAACGAGUGGGAGAUGGAUCAACAACCGAAGUGUGA